This 2902-nucleotide ribosomal RNA is filed under the name Escherichia coli. RNAcentral describes it as "bacterial LSU rRNA". It matches the Rfam family "Bacterial large subunit ribosomal RNA". Lineage: Bacteria; Pseudomonadati; Pseudomonadota; Gammaproteobacteria; Enterobacterales; Enterobacteriaceae. The record is from RNAcentral.
UUAAGCGACUAAGCGUACACGGUGGAUGCCCUGGCAGUCAGAGGCGAUGAAGGACGUGCUAAUCUGCGAUAAGCGUCGGUAAGGUGAUAUGAACCGUUAUAACCGGCGAUUUCCGAAUGGGGAAACCCAGUGUGUUUCGACACACUAUCAUUAACUGAAUCCAUAGGUUAAUGAGGCGAACCGGGGGAACUGAAACAUCUAAGUACCCCGAGGAAAAGAAAUCAACCGAGAUUCCCCCAGUAGCGGCGAGCGAACGGGGAGCAGCCCAGAGCCUGAAUCAGUGUGUGUGUUAGUGGAAGCGUCUGGAAAGGCGUGCGAUACAGGGUGACAGCCCCGUACACAAAAAUGCACAUGCUGUGAGCUCGAUGAGUAGGGCGGGACACGUGGUAUCCUGUCUGAAUAUGGGGGGACCAUCCUCCAAGGCUAAAUACUCCUGACUGACCGAUAGUGAACCAGUACCGUGAGGGAAAGGCGAAAAGAACCCCGGCGAGGGGAGUGAAAAAGAACCUGAAACCGUGUACGUACAAGCAGUGGGAGCACGCUUAGGCGUGUGACUGCGUACCUUUUGUAUAAUGGGUCAGCGACUUAUAUUCUGUAGCAAGGUUAACCGAAUAGGGGAGCCGAAGGGAAACCGAGUCUUAACUGGGCGUUAAGUUGCAGGGUAUAGACCCGAAACCCGGUGAUCUAGCCAUGGGCAGGUUGAAGGUUGGGUAACACUAACUGGAGGACCGAACCGACUAAUGUUGAAAAAUUAGCGGAUGACUUGUGGCUGGGGGUGAAAGGCCAAUCAAACCGGGAGAUAGCUGGUUCUCCCCGAAAGCUAUUUAGGUAGCGCCUCGUGAAUUCAUCUCCGGGGGUAGAGCACUGUUUCGGCAAGGGGGUCAUCCCGACUUACCAACCCGAUGCAAACUGCGAAUACCGGAGAAUGUUAUCACGGGAGACACACGGCGGGUGCUAACGUCCGUCGUGAAGAGGGAAACAACCCAGACCGCCAGCUAAGGUCCCAAAGUCAUGGUUAAGUGGGAAACGAUGUGGGAAGGCCCAGACAGCCAGGAUGUUGGCUUAGAAGCAGCCAUCAUUUAAAGAAAGCGUAAUAGCUCACUGGUCGAGUCGGCCUGCGCGGAAGAUGUAACGGGGCUAAACCAUGCACCGAAGCUGCGGCAGCGACGCUUAUGCGUUGUUGGGUAGGGGAGCGUUCUGUAAGCCUGCGAAGGUGUGCUGUGAGGCAUGCUGGAGGUAUCAGAAGUGCGAAUGCUGACAUAAGUAACGAUAAAGCGGGUGAAAAGCCCGCUCGCCGGAAGACCAAGGGUUCCUGUCCAACGUUAAUCGGGGCAGGGUGAGUCGACCCCUAAGGCGAGGCCGAAAGGCGUAGUCGAUGGGAAACAGGUUAAUAUUCCUGUACUUGGUGUUACUGCGAAGGGGGGACGGAGAAGGCUAUGUUGGCCGGGCGACGGUUGUCCCGGUUUAAGCGUGUAGGCUGGUUUUCCAGGCAAAUCCGGAAAAUCAAGGCUGAGGCGUGAUGACGAGGCACUACGGUGCUGAAGCAACAAAUGCCCUGCUUCCAGGAAAAGCCUCUAAGCAUCAGGUAACAUCAAAUCGUACCCCAAACCGACACAGGUGGUCAGGUAGAGAAUACCAAGGCGCUUGAGAGAACUCGGGUGAAGGAACUAGGCAAAAUGGUGCCGUAACUUCGGGAGAAGGCACGCUGAUAUGUAGGUGAAGUCCCUCGCGGAUGGAGCUGAAAUCAGUCGAAGAUACCAGCUGGCUGCAACUGUUUAUUAAAAACACAGCACUGUGCAAACACGAAAGUGGACGUAUACGGUGUGACGCCUGCCCGGUGCCGGAAGGUUAAUUGAUGGGGUCAGCGCAAGCGAAGCUCUUGAUCGAAGCCCCGGUAAACGGCGGCCGUAACUAUAACGGUCCUAAGGUAGCGAAAUUCCUUGUCGGGUAAGUUCCGACCUGCACGAAUGGCGUAAUGAUGGCCAGGCUGUCUCCACCCGAGACUCAGUGAAAUUGAACUCGCUGUGAAGAUGCAGUGUACCCGCGGCAAGACGGAAAGACCCCGUGAACCUUUACUAUAGCUUGACACUGAACAUUGAGCCUUGAUGUGUAGGAUAGGUGGGAGGCUUGGAAGUGUGGACGCCAGUCUGCAUGGAGCCGACCUUGAAAUACCACCCUUUAAUGUUUGAUGUUCUAACGUUGACCCGUGAUCCGGGUUGCGGACAGUGUCUGGUGGGUAGUUUGACUGGGGCGGUCUCCUCCUAAAGAGUAACGGAGGAGCACGAAGGUUGGCUAAUCCUGGUCGGACAUCAGGAGGUUAGUGCAAUGGCAUAAGCCAGCUUGACUGCGAGCGUGACGGCGCGAGCAGGUGCGAAAGCAGGUCAUAGUGAUCCGGUGGUUCUGAAUGGAAGGGCCAUCGCUCAACGGAUAAAAGGUACUCCGGGGAUAACAGGCUGAUACCGCCCAAGAGUUCAUAUCGACGGCGGUGUUUGGCACCUCGAUGUCGGCUCAUCACAUCCUGGGGCUGAAGUAGGUCCCAAGGGUAUGGCUGUUCGCCAUUUAAAGUGGUACGCGAGCUGGGUUUAGAACGUCGUGAGACAGUUCGGUCCCUAUCUGCCGUGGGCGCUGGAGAACUGAGGGGGGCUGCUCCUAGUACGAGAGGACCGGAGUGGACGCAUCACUGGUGUUCGGGUUGUCAUGCCAAUGGCACUGCCCGGUAGCUAAAUGCGGAAGAGAUAAGUGCUGAAAGCAUCUAAGCACGAAACUUGCCCCGAGAUGAGUUCUCCCUGACUCCUUGAGAGUCCUGAAGGAACGUUGAAGACGACGACGUUGAUAGGCCGGGUGUGUAAGCGCAGCGAUGCGUUGAGCUAACCGGUACUAAUGAACCGUGAGGCUUAACCUU